Non-coding RNA from Caenorhabditis elegans, 21 nucleotides. Lineage: Eukaryota; Metazoa; Nematoda; Chromadorea; Rhabditida; Rhabditidae. The record is from Ensembl.
UUGGAACUAGAGGAAUCUUAA